GCCACACCGAAACUGCUUCUGCUUUUCCAGUUAGAGCCGGCACUUGCCUCUCCUCUACGCUGUCUGCCUCUCAUUAGCAGAGUUCAAUCCCAGCCUGCACAUGGCUUCUAUUCCCGUAGCACCCCACCCCCGCCGUGACCAGAGUAUGAUGGGAGAAACACAUGAGAGAGAAGGUCACUUACAUCUUGGUGGCCAGGAAGCAAAGAGAGCGUCAGGAAAGAGCAACAGGAAAAUACCCAGGAAGGAGCAAAGGGCAAGAACCCAGGAAGGAACUUGAAACGCCUGUCUCCAGUGAGGACAUCCUUCAACCAGUCCCCACCCCCUAACACUUCUGUCACCUCCCAAUAAAGCUGUCCACAUCGGAAUCUGACAACUGAUAAACCC
Long non-coding RNA from Mesocricetus auratus (golden hamster), 384 nucleotides. RefSeq lists it as uncharacterized. The transcript is spliced from 2 exons. NCBI's taxonomy places the organism in Eukaryota, Metazoa, Chordata, Mammalia, Rodentia, Cricetidae. The record is from RefSeq and is a predicted model, not a curated record.